RNAcentral lists this ribosomal RNA (1354 nucleotides) under Moolgarda crenilabis (fringelip mullet). RNAcentral describes it as "Crenimugil crenilabis (fringelip mullet) partial 16S ribosomal RNA". It matches the Rfam family "Bacterial large subunit ribosomal RNA", at positions 545 to 2597 of the family's 2925-position model. Lineage: Eukaryota; Metazoa; Chordata; Actinopteri; Mugiliformes; Mugilidae. The record is from RNAcentral.
ACACCCAGUAAAGCCUAAAAAAGCAGAGAUUCCAUCUCGUACCUUUUGCAUCAUGAUUUAGCAAGUAUAACCAAGCAAAAAGAAUUUUAGUUUGGCCCCCCGAAACCAAGUGAGCUACUCCAAGACAACCUAAAAUAAGGGUAAACCCGUCUUCUGUGGCAAAAGAGUGGGAAGAGCUUUGAGUAGCGGUGACAGACCUAUCGAACUUGGUAAUAGCUGGUUGCUUGAGAAAUGAAUAGGAGUUCUGCUUCUUAUAUUCUCACCCCGCCCUGGUCGUUUGAGCCCUACCGCAGGUAAAAGAAGAUAAGAAAGUUAAUCAAAGGGGGUACAGCCCCUUUGAGACAAAGUACAACUUUUUCAGGAGGGUAAAGAUCAUAAUUUUUAAGGUGACUAUGUCUUGGUGGGCCUAAAAGCAGCCAUCCCAUUAGAAAGCGUUAAAGCUCUAACAUACCCUCCACCCCCGAUCCCGAUAACAAAUCUUAGCCCCCUAUACAUAUCAAGCCGUCCCAUACAAAUCUAUGGGAGCGAUUAUGCUAAAAUGAGUAAUCAGAGAGCCCCACCUCUCUCCCUGUACAUGUGUAAAUCGGAACGGACCCUCCACCGAAACUUAACGGCCCCAAAACAACAGCGGGUACUGAAUGAUCAGCAGUUAACAAGAAAAUCAUCCAAAAUAUUGCCGUUGACCCCACACCGGUGUACUUCAAAAGAAAGACCAAAAGGAAAAGAAGGAACUCGGCAAAACCACCAAAGCCUCGCCUGUUUACCAAAAACAUCGCCUCUUGCUAAUUACACAUAAGAGGUCCCGCCUGCCCUGUGACCCCCAGUUUAACGGCCGCGGUAUUUUGACCGUGCAAAGGUAGCGCAAUCACUUGUCCCUUAAAUGAGGACCUGUAUGAAUGGCACAACGAGGGCUUAACUGUCUCCUUUCCCCGGUCAAUGAAAUUGAUCUUCCCGUGCAGAAGCGGGAAUCCUAACAUAAGACGAGAAGACCCUAUGGAGCUUUAGACUCCAGAAUAGACCAUGUCAGCUACUCCCGUUAAACACAGUAGCAACUAUUGAGCCUCUAUUCUCUGUCUUUGGUUGGGGCGACCACGGGGAAGAAAAAAUCCCCCAUGUGGACCGGGAGCACCAAUCUCACUCCCACAACCACGAGCCACAGCUCUAAUGCGCAGAAUUUCUGACCAUAUAGAUCCGGCAACUAGCCGAUCAACGGACCGAGUUACCCUAGGGAUAACAGCGCAAUCCCCUUUAAGAGUCCCUAUCGACAAGGGGGUUUACGACCUCGAUGUUGGAUCAAGACAUCCUAAUGGUGCAGCCGCUAUUAAGGGUUCGUUUGUUCAACGAUUAAAGUCUU